Molecule: ribosomal RNA, 331 nt
Filed under: Arxiozyma telluris
Lineage: Eukaryota; Fungi; Ascomycota; Saccharomycetes; Saccharomycetales; Saccharomycetaceae
Description: Kazachstania telluris ribosomal RNA
Source: RNAcentral
GAGAAACAAAAAGCUGUCUCGUGGAGAGCGCUGGGGGGAGCCAUGGGGGAGUGCGUAUGCUGCGGGCCAGCCAGCGCUUAGUUGCGCGGCGCCCGUGGGUGCUCUGCCGGGAGCCCUCUGCUAAGGAGCUCUGCAUGUAGAACACACACACAGUGGAGACACGUAUGCACGUUUUUCUGGGUGCAAUAUGGUGCUUUGGGCUGGCGACGGCCCAGAGUGCAGCACGCAAAACACAAACAAAAGUGGAGUGUAGGAAACAGUCAGCAAAGAGACACGAGUUCUGGGGCAGUGCGCGAGCGCUGUGGCAGGACGAGUGAUAUACGAAUCUUCA